AGAUAACUCUAAAAAAGAGACUUAUUGUAACAACUUCAGUGUUAACUUCAGUGAUUUGGGCACGAGUGACAAUGAACUCUGCGUCAGAGCCUGAGCUACAUGUAAAUGCAAUCUAAGGAAGCAUUUUUUUAUUAUUAUUAAUUUGUUUUUUUCACGGGUGUGUCGCCCUGGACUGAAAGCAAGGAGGGAGGAUACGUGCUGAGUGCACACACACACACACACAAGCACUACACUGUCUUCCUCAAACAUCUUCAAGGUCCCUGAGGAGGGAUAAAUGGCCAACAGGAGGUGCCUACCCAGGAGAAACUCAUCUGGUGCUUUACAGGGCUCCAGUGAGCAGCGACGGGACAGCAAUGCUCUUUGCACUCGCUGUUCCUUUUUCCUAUGCAUAUACCUCUUUGAGAUGUAGCUUUAAAGAGGCAUAGGGCAUGGGAAAAUGGGGCUGCAGAGGUUUUCCACCGGGCAGACAACCAUCAUUUCAUCAUCCUCUCUGCAGGACAGCUGGCCUCAAAGUGCACGCGCACACACACACACACACACACACACACACACACAGAGGGAUGCUGCGAUCCACAUACUCUGACGCAAUUUUUUUUUCUGUCAGUCUGUUUUUUUUAUGAAAUAUUGCAUUGGGUUCAUUCAUUUGUGUGAGUGGGGAGUAAAGUGAUAGUGUUAUAUUGCUGAUUGAUUUGUUGUAUUUUUAAAUAAACCCAUCUUUGCUCUAAAUACUGUU
This is a long non-coding RNA of Solea solea (common sole), 733 nucleotides long. RefSeq lists it as uncharacterized. NCBI's taxonomy places the organism in Eukaryota, Metazoa, Chordata, Actinopteri, Pleuronectiformes, Soleidae. The record is from RefSeq and is a predicted model, not a curated record. The transcript is spliced from 2 exons.